UACAGAGGUGCGAGCGUUAAUCGGAUUUACUGGGCGUAAAGCGUACGUAGGCGGUUUGUAAGUCAGAUGUGAAAUCCCCGAGCUCAACUUGGGAACUGCGUUUGAAACUUACAAGACUAGAAUAUGUCAGAGGGGUAGAAUUCCACGUGUAGCAGUGAAAUGCGUAGAGAUGUGGAGGAAUACCAAUGGCGAAGGCAGCCCCCUGGGAUAAUAUUGACGCUCAUGCACGAAAGCGUGGGGAGCAAACAGG
RNAcentral lists this ribosomal RNA (250 nucleotides) under uncultured bacterium. RNAcentral describes it as "partial 16S ribosomal RNA". It matches the Rfam family "Bacterial small subunit ribosomal RNA", at positions 524 to 776 of the family's 1533-position model. The record is from RNAcentral.